RNAcentral lists this ribosomal RNA (475 nucleotides) under uncultured Glomus. RNAcentral describes it as "SSU rRNA". It matches the Rfam family "Eukaryotic small subunit ribosomal RNA", at positions 536 to 1019 of the family's 1831-position model. Lineage: Eukaryota; Fungi; Glomeromycota; Glomeromycetes; Glomerales; Glomeraceae. The record is from RNAcentral.
CACGGGGGUUGGAGGGCAAGUCUGGUGCCAGCAGCCGCGGUAAUUCCAGCUCCAAUAGCGUAUAUUAAAGUUGUUGCAGUUAAAAAGCUCGUAGUUGAAUUUCGGGGUUAGUAGGUUGGUCAUGCCUCUGGUAUGUACUGGUCUCACUGAUUCCUCCUUCCUUAUGAACCGUAAUGCCAUUAAUUUGGUGUUGCGGGGAAUUUGGACUGUUACUUUGAAAAAAUUAGAGUGUUUAAAGCAAGCUAACGCUUGAAUACAUUAGCAUGGAAUAAUGAAAUAGGACGUUCGAUCUUAUUUUGUUGGUUUCUAGGAUUGACGUAAUGAUUAAUAGGGAUAGUUGGGGGCAUUAGUAUUCAAUUGUCAGAGGUGAAAUUCUUGGAUUUAUUGAAGACUAACUACUGCGAAAGCAUUUGCCAAGGAUGUUUUCAUUAAUCAAGAACGAAAGUUAGGGGAUCGAAGACGAUCAGAUACCGUC